RNAcentral lists this ribosomal RNA (237 nucleotides) under uncultured bacterium. RNAcentral's name for it is "partial 16S ribosomal RNA". It matches the Rfam family "Bacterial small subunit ribosomal RNA", at positions 67 to 334 of the family's 1533-position model. The record is from RNAcentral.
CGCCCCGCAAGGGGAGCGGCAGACGGGUGAGUAACGCGUGGGAAUCUACCCAUCUCUACGGAAUAACUCAGGGAAACUUGUGCUAAUACCGUAUACGCCCUUCGGGGGAAAGAUUUAUCGGAGAUGAAUGUGCCCGCGUUGGAUUAGCUAGUUGGUGGGGUAAAGGCCUACCAAGGCGACGAUCCAUAGCUGGUCUGAGAGGAUGAUCAGCCACGCUGGGACUGAGACACGGCCCAG